AACACUGGAAGAGUAGAGGGGACUCAAUCCCCAUCCUUAAGCUUUCCUUGCAGCCAAAAACUAACUAUCUACCUUACUUUCCAUCUCUUUCCAAACAAACCAUUUCCCAGCUCUGUUUGCACAGAGGGAUGCUGAGUUGGGAGAAGCGCUGGUUGGAUCCUUUUGCGCAAAAUCCAAGCCUUCUCUCCCCUCCCUCCCCUGCAGCUGCUGAUCCCUCACAGCGCCCCCUCCCCUCCCCUUCAGAGCUUUGGGGCUAGGGACCUGUCUCUGUACUACUUAGGUGGGAGGGGAGGGUCUGCAAACAGAGGAUAAUGUCAGAUGCCGGGCUCUCUCCUUCACCUGAAGCUCCUCCCUGGCUCCUGAAUCAGGGCUGGUUUCUGUAAGGAAUAGCAGGAACUCUGACAGCAGAAGCUAGAGGAGCCACGGCAGAGGCAGAGGUUGCUUGGAGCCAGAAAAGUCCGGGCACUGGCUUUUCUAGUUACUUCCCAACCUCGUCCCAGCCAUGGACAGCAGCAGCGUCCUGGGGAAUGCCGGCAACUGCACUGAUCCAUUGAGCUCUCCCAGUUGCUCCCAGGCACCUAAUCCUGGUUCCUGGCUCAACUUCUCCCACUUGGAUGGCAAUCGGUCGGACCCAUGCGGUCCGAACAGCACCGAGCUGGGAGGGAGAGACAGCUCUUGCCCUCCGGCUGGCAAUCCUUCCUUGAUCACCGCUGUCACCAUCAUGGCCCUCUACUCCAUCGUGUGUGUGGUAGGACUCUUCGGAAACUUCCUGGUCAUGUAUGUGAUUGUCAGAUACACCAAAAUGAAGACCGCCACCAACAUCUACAUUUUCAACCUGGCUCUAGCAGAUGCCUUAGCGACCAGCACCCUACCCUUCCAAAGUGUCAAUUACCUGAUGGGAACAUGGCCCUUUGGGACAAUUCUCUGCAAGCUUGUGAUCUCCAUAGAUUAUUAUAAUAUGUUCACCAGUAUAUUCACCCUCUGCACAAUGAGUGUUGAUCGCUACAUUGCAGUCUGCCAUCCGGUCAAGGCCCUGGAUUUCCGUACACCCCGCAAUGCCAAAAUCGUCAAUGUGUGUAACUGGAUCAUCUCUUCAGCCAUUGGUCUGCCUGUUAUGUUCAUGGCAACAACAAAGUACAGGCAUGGUUCCAUAGAUUGCACGCUAACAUUCUCUCACCCAGCCUGGUACUGGGAAAACCUGCUGAAAAUCUGUGUUUUCAUCUUUGCCUUUAUCAUGCCUGUCCUCAUCAUUACAGUGUGUUAUGGGCUAAUGAUCUUACGCCUCAAGAGUGUCCGCAUGCUCUCUGGCUCCAAAGAAAAAGACAGGAACCUUCGAAGAAUCACCCGAAUGGUGCUGGUUGUGGUGGCUGUGUUCAUAGUCUGCUGGACUCCCAUUCAUAUCUACGUCAUCAUUAAAGCCUUGAUUACAAUCCCAGAAACUACUUUUCAGACUGUUUCCUGGCACUUCUGCAUUGCUCUAGGUUAUACAAACAGCUGCCUGAACCCUGUCCUCUAUGCCUUUCUGGAUGAAAACUUCAAACGAUGCUUCAGAGAGUUCUGUAUCCCCACUUCCUCCACCAUUGAGCAGCAGAAUUCCACUCGAAUUCGCCAAAACACGAGAGACCACCCCUCCACAGCCAAUACAGUGGAUAGAACUAACCAUCAGAUCAGAGAUCCAAUACCAAACCUUCCCAGGGUGUCUGUAUUCUGACAGCCGUGUCCCUACAGCGCAAAGUCAAGUGGAGAGUUGGCAGUUUCCAAGCUAGAGAAUCUAGAAGCAGAAACUGCUCCUUUGCCCUAAUUGGGUCACAUGCCACUCAGCCCUUCUCAUGUCACUCAGAGCUGAAAACAGCACGUAGAAGAAGGUAACUGCAAACGUGGUCGGAGAAAACAUGGCUGGAGACUCUCAUUUCCUAAGAAGGCAUUUACUUCUCAAAGAUCAAACUUAUUUCCUCUCUAGCCACUGCAAUCUGCAUAUUAAAGAGACAACCCACCUACAUCACGUACUGGGAAGGUAAGGACUCUGCAAAACCAAGGAGCUCAGCAUACUUAUAUAUUCACUUCCAAUGGGACUAAAAUACAUCAUGGUAUGUGAAUGGAGUUCAACAUGGGUGACCACGUUUCUGUAAGGAAUAUUUGGUUUCAAGCAAAUAUUUAUGACUGUAUCCAACAGGGCAAAAACAGUGAUUAGUAAAUUCAUGAUAGCAACACGUAAAGUAAAUGCUACCUCUGAUCAAAGCACUGUGUAUGGAAAGUCCAAGAUUUUUUAGUCUUCUGCAAGGGAAAACUUGGCUCUAUUUUCACUUCCGUUGUUAACCUUAAAAUUAUCUUCUGACUAAGACAUUGUAUUCACCUUCAUUCUUGGCUUUGUAUUUUUUUUUUUCUAUACAAUGCCUCACUGGUCUAGCUCCACAAUUUAAAGGAAAAGAUUAACAUGAAAGGAAACUUGAAAUACAGUAAUGUGACAGUCAAAGAAAAGGUUGAUGCUUGUGCUUUACAAGUAGUUUCUGGGUCAUAAUGGGAGAUCUUUUUUUUUUUUUUCAUUCUUGGACUUUUUAGUGGUUGACUCUGUAGUUCUGAGUGUACAUUCCCCUUGCCCAUCCAAGUGUUCACAAAAGUUAAUGGCCAAUCCAUGAGCUUAUCAUCAUCUAUGUAGGAAACCAAACACUAAAAUGUUAUCUCCAUUUUCCUACUGUUUCUCCACACAGCACACUCUUUAUAUGUUAUUAUAUAUUUUUUAACUCUGCUCAGAACAUUUAUCCCUUUUGAAUCUGUGAGACAAAAUGGCCAUUGCUUUGCUGAUUGUCAGGACAGUUCAAACUUCAAAAAAAAAAAAAAUACAUCAAUCAGUUGAAACUCAUAGCAGUCUCAAUCAGAGAAAAAUGGAUUGAUUGAAAUGGCUGAUCUACUUUUCAAUUUUAUGGAGUUAUUUAGACAAGGAUUAUUAGCAAUUACCCAAAAUUACUUUCUUAGAGAUUGUACUGGCAUAGUAUCAUCCUCAAUAGGAUGUUCUUUUCAGUCUUUGCUAAACAUUAAGAUUUCUCUUGUAAAAUGUCGGUCACGG
Molecule: RNA transcript, 3064 nt
Organism: Erinaceus europaeus (western European hedgehog)
Lineage: Eukaryota; Metazoa; Chordata; Mammalia; Eulipotyphla; Erinaceidae
Gene: OPRM1
Gene name: opioid receptor mu 1
Exons: 5
Source: RefSeq, a predicted model, not a curated record